RNAcentral lists this ribosomal RNA (492 nucleotides) under uncultured bacterium. RNAcentral describes it as "partial 16S ribosomal RNA". It matches the Rfam family "Bacterial small subunit ribosomal RNA", at positions 28 to 507 of the family's 1533-position model. The record is from RNAcentral.
GAUGAACGCUAGCUACAGGCUUAACACAUGCAAGUCGAGGGGAAACGGCAUUGAGUGCUUGCACUCUUUGGACGUCGACCGGCGCACGGGUGAGUAACGCGUAUCCAACCUUCCCAUUACUGUGGGAUAACCUGCCGAAAGGCAGACUAAUACCGCAUAGUCUUCGAUGACGGCAUCAGAUUUGAAGUAAAGAUUUAUCGGUAAUGGAUGGGGAUGCGUUUGAUUAGCUUGUUGGCGGGGUAACGGCCCACCAAGGCUACGAUCAGUAGGGGUUCUGAGAGGAAGGUCCCCCACAUUGGAACUGAGACACGGUCCAAACUCCUACGGGAGGCAGCAGUGAGGAAUAUUGGUCAAUGGACGGAAGUCUGAACCAGCCAAGUAGCGUGCAGGAUGACGGCCCUAUGGGUUGUAAACUGCUUUUGUAUGGGGAUAAAGUUAGGGACGUGUCCCUAUUUGCAGGUACCAUACGAAUAAGGACCGGCUAAUUCCGUG